UACGUAGGUGGCGAGUGUUGUCCGGAUUUAUUGGGUUUAAAGGGUGCGUAGGCGGCCUUGUAAGUCAGUGCUGAAAUACCCCGGCUUAACCGGGGGGGUGGCAUUGAUACUGCAGGGCUUGAGUAAAGAUGAGGUAGGCGGAAUCGACGGUGUAGCGGUGAAAUGCAGAGAUAUCGUCAAGAACUCCGAUAGCGAAGGCAGCUUACUAAACUUCAACUGACGCUGAUGCACGAAAGUGUGGGGAUCAAACAGG
Molecule: unclassified non-coding RNA, 253 nt
Filed under: uncultured Cytophagales bacterium
Lineage: Bacteria; Pseudomonadati; Bacteroidota; Sphingobacteriia; Sphingobacteriales
Description: contains 16S-23S intergenic spacer region
Rfam family: Bacterial small subunit ribosomal RNA
Source: RNAcentral